UGGGGAAUUUUGGACAAUGGGGGAAACCCUGAUCCAGCCAUCCCGCGUGUGCGAUGAAGGCCUUCGGGUUGUAAAGCACUUUUGGCAGGAAAGAAACGUCGCGGGUUAAUACCCCGCGAAACUGACGGUACCUGCAGAAUAAGCACCGGCUAACUACGUGCCAGCAGCCGCGGUAAUACGUAGGGUGCAAGCGUUAAUCGGAAUUACUGGGCGUAAAGCGUGCGCAGGCGGUUCGGAAAGAAAGAUGUGAAAUCCCAGAGCUUAACUUUGGAACUGCAUUUUUAACUACCGGGCUAGAGUGUGUCAGAGGGAGGUGGAAUUCCGCGUGUAGCAGUGAAAUGCGUAGAUAUGCGGAGGAACACCGAUGGCGAAGGCAGCCUCCUGGGAUAACACUGACGCUCAUGCACGAAAAGCGUGGGGAGCAAAACAGGAUUAGAUACCCUGGUAGUCCACGCCCUAAACGAUGUCAACUAGCUGUUGGGGCCUUCGGGCCUUGGUAGCGCAGCUAACGCGUGAAGUUGACCGCCUGGGGAGUACGGUCGCAAGAUUAAAAACUCAAAAUGAAUUGACGGGGGUCAUAGCUGUUUUUCCU
RNAcentral lists this ribosomal RNA (592 nucleotides) under uncultured bacterium. RNAcentral describes it as "partial 16S ribosomal RNA". It matches the Rfam family "Bacterial small subunit ribosomal RNA", at positions 355 to 940 of the family's 1533-position model. The record is from RNAcentral.